UACAGAGCUUGCACAAAGUUCUGAAGC
This 27-nucleotide non-coding RNA is filed under the name Mus musculus (house mouse). The record is from RNAcentral. Lineage: Eukaryota; Metazoa; Chordata; Mammalia; Rodentia; Muridae.